Molecule: ribosomal RNA, 410 nt
Filed under: uncultured bacterium
Lineage: Bacteria
Description: partial 16S ribosomal RNA
Rfam family: Bacterial small subunit ribosomal RNA
Source: RNAcentral
UGGGGAAUAUUGGACAAUGGGGGGCAACCCUGAUCCAGCAAUGCCGCGUGUGUGAAGAAGGUCUUCGGAUUGUAAAGCACUUUCGACGGGGACGAUGAUGACGGUACCCGUAGAAGAAGCCCCGGCUAACUUCGUGCCAGCAGCCGCGGUAAUACGAAGGGGGCUAGCGUUGCUCGGAAUGACUGGGCGUAAAGGGCGUGUAGGCGGUUUACACAGUCAGAUGUGAAAUCCCCGGGCUUAACCUGGGAGCUGCAUUUGAUACGUGUAGACUAGAGUGUGAGAGAGGGUUGUGGAAUUCCCAGUGUAGAGGUGAAAUUCGUAGAUAUUGGGAAGAACACCGGUGGCGAAGGCGGCAACCUGGCUCAUGACUGACGCUGAGGCGCGAAAGCGUGGGGAGCAAACAGGAUUAG